Molecule: ribosomal RNA, 580 nt
Filed under: uncultured bacterium
Lineage: Bacteria
Description: bacterial SSU rRNA
Rfam family: Bacterial small subunit ribosomal RNA
Source: RNAcentral
GACGGGGGCCCGCACAAGCAGUGGAGUAUGUGGUUUAAUUCGAAGCAACGCGAAGAACCUUACCAGGUCUUGACAUCGUAUGCAUACCAUAGAGAUAUGGGAAAUCCCUUCGGGGACAUAUAGACAGGUGGUGCAUGGUUGUCGUCAGCUCGUGUCGUGAGAUGUUGGGUUAAGUCCCGCAACGAGCGCAACCCUUACCUUUAGUUGCUACGCAAGAGCACUCUAAAGGGACUGCCGUUGACAAAACGGAGGAAGGUGGGGAUGACGUCAAAUCAUCAUGCCCCUUAUGACCUGGGCUACACACGUACUACAAUGGCAAUCAACAAAGAGCAGCAAGACAGUGAUGUGGAGCGAAUCUCAAAAAAUUGUCCCAGUUCAGAUUGCAGGCUGCAACUCGCCUGCAUGAAGUCGGAAUUGCUAGUAAUCGCGGAUCAGCAUGCCGCGGUGAAUACGUUCCCGGGCCUUGUACACACCGCCCGUCACACCAUGGGAGUCGGUAACACCCGAAGUCGGUAGUCUAACAGCAAUGAGGACGCCGCCGAAGGUGGGAUUGAGGACUGGGGUGAAGACGUAACAAGGG